This 71-nucleotide transfer RNA is filed under the name Loxodonta africana (African savanna elephant). It matches the Rfam family "tRNA". From Rfam's summary of the family: Transfer RNA (tRNA) molecules are approximately 80 nucleotides in length. Their secondary structure includes four short double-helical elements and three loops (D, anti-codon, and T loops). Further hydrogen bonds mediate the characteristic L-shaped molecular structure. tRNAs have two regions of fundamental functional importance: the anti-codon, which is responsible for specific mRNA codon recognition, and the 3' end, to which the tRNAs corresponding amino acid is attached (by aminoacyl-tRNA synthetases). tRNAs cope with the degeneracy of the genetic code in two manners: having more than one tRNA (with a specific anti-codon) for a particular amino acid; and 'wobble' base-pairing, i.e. permitting non-standard base-pairing at the 3rd anti-codon position. The record is from Rfam by way of RNAcentral. Lineage: Eukaryota; Metazoa; Chordata; Mammalia; Proboscidea; Elephantidae.
GCGGUGGUGGUUCAGUGGUAGGAUUCUCGCCUUCCAUGUGGGAGACCCAGGUUCGAUUCCCAUCCAGUGCA